GAUGAACGCUGGCGGCGUGCCUAAUACAUGCAAGUCGAGCGAACAGACGAUGAGCUUGCUCCUCUCUCGUUAGCGGCGGACGGGUGAGUAACGCGUGUAUAACCUACCUAUAAUACUGGUAUAACUUCGGGAAACCGGAUCUAAUACCGUAGAAUAUAUUGAACCGCAUGGGUGAAUAGUGAAAGACGGUUGUUCUGGCACGUAUAGAUGGAUCCGCGCCGCAUUGGCGAGUUGGGAAGUUAACGGCUUAUCAAGGCGACGAUGCGUAGGCGAACGGAGAGGGUGAGCGGCCACACUGGAACUGAGACACGCUACAGACUCAUAGGGGAGGCAGCAGUAGGGAAUCUUACGCAAUGGGCGAGAGCCUGACGGAGCAACGCGGAGUGAGUGAUGACGGUCCUCGGAUCGUAAAACUCUCUUACUAGGGAAGAACCACUGUGUAAGUAAAUAUGCACGUAGUGACGGUACCUAAUAAGAAAGCCACGGCUAACUACGUG
RNAcentral lists this ribosomal RNA (497 nucleotides) under uncultured bacterium. RNAcentral describes it as "partial 16S ribosomal RNA". It matches the Rfam family "Bacterial small subunit ribosomal RNA", at positions 28 to 507 of the family's 1533-position model. The record is from RNAcentral.